Molecule: long non-coding RNA, 212 nt
Organism: Colossoma macropomum (tambaqui)
Lineage: Eukaryota; Metazoa; Chordata; Actinopteri; Characiformes; Serrasalmidae
Exons: 3
Source: RefSeq, a predicted model, not a curated record
AGAACGAGCGAGUGCAUUCAAAGAAACCAGAAGAAGCUGGUUAGAGCUGCAGUGUACUAGCUGUGGGAGGAAAGGUUUAAAGCACAAGAUAGAAAUUUCGUGUGCAUGGAGACUUUCUCAGCAGUUGAGCAGUUACCGUGAAUGAGAGAAGCUAAACUGGUCUAAGUGGUCUAAGCUACAUGUGUUUUGGUGUUUCGCACACAAGCAAAGUG